RNAcentral lists this unclassified non-coding RNA (17 nucleotides) under Mus musculus (house mouse). Its description in RNAcentral is "oocyte_clustered_small_RNA12562". The record is from RNAcentral. Lineage: Eukaryota; Metazoa; Chordata; Mammalia; Rodentia; Muridae.
CUGAUCGCGACCAUUGG